GAUGAACGCUGGCGGCGUGCCUAAUACAUGCAAGUCGAGCGAACGGACGAGAAGCUUGCUUUUCUGAUGUUAGCGGCGGACGGGUGAGUAACACGUGGAUAACCUACCUAUAAGACUGGGAUAACUUCGGGAAACCGGAGCUAAUAUCGGAUAAUAUUUUGAACCGCAUGGUUCAAAAGUGAAAGACGGUCUUGCUGUCACUUAUAGAUGGAUCCGCGCUGCAUUAGCUAGUUGGUAAGGUAACGGCUUACCAAGGCAACGAUGCAUAGCCGACCUGAGAGGGUGAUCGGCCACACUGGAACUGAGCCACGGUCCAGACUCCUACGGGAGGCAGCAGUAGGGAAUCUUCCGCAAUGGGCGAAAGCCUGACGGAGCAACGCCGCGUGAGUGGUGAAGGUCUUCGGAUCGUAAAACUCUGUUAUUAGGGAAGAACAUAUGUGUAAGUAACUGUGCACAUCUUGACGGUACCUAAUCAGAAAGCCACGGCUAACUACGUG
RNAcentral lists this ribosomal RNA (497 nucleotides) under uncultured bacterium. RNAcentral describes it as "partial 16S ribosomal RNA". It matches the Rfam family "Bacterial small subunit ribosomal RNA", at positions 28 to 507 of the family's 1533-position model. The record is from RNAcentral.